CGGCUACAUCACGCUGAAACAUCGAUUUCCAUGUGAUCACCGAAGUUAAGCAACGUUGAGCCUGGUUAGUAACUAGAUCGGUGACCGUUUAGGAAUACUAAGUGUCGUAA
Acanthosepion pharaonis is the source of this 110-nucleotide non-coding RNA. Lineage: Eukaryota; Metazoa; Mollusca; Cephalopoda; Sepiida; Sepiidae. The record is from the annotation of a GenBank genome assembly.